This 446-nucleotide ribosomal RNA is filed under the name uncultured bacterium. RNAcentral describes it as "bacterial SSU rRNA". It matches the Rfam family "Bacterial small subunit ribosomal RNA", at positions 329 to 792 of the family's 1533-position model. The record is from RNAcentral.
GGCCAGACUCCUACGGGAGGCAGCAGUAGGGAAUCUUUCACAAUGGGCGAAAGCCUGAUGGAGCAACGCCGCGUGCAGGAUGAAGGCCUUCGGGUUGUAAACUGCUUUUAUAAGCGAGAAAUAUGAUGGUAACUUAUGAAUAAGGAUCGGCUAACUACGUGCCAGCAGCCGCGGUAAUACGUAGGUGGCGAGCGUUAUCCGGAAUGAUUGGGCGUAAAGGGUGCGCAGGCGGUCCUGCAAGUCUGGAGUGAAACGCAUGAGCUCAACUCAUGCAUGGCUUUGGAAACUGGAGGACUGGAGAGCAGGAGAGGGCGGUGGAACUCCAUGUGUAGCGGUAAAAUGCGUAGAUAUAUGGAAGAACACCAGUGGCGAAGGCGGCCGCCUGGCCUGUUGCUGACGCUGAGGCACGAAAGCGUGGGGAGCAAAUAGGAUUAGAUACCCUAGUA